This 497-nucleotide ribosomal RNA is filed under the name uncultured bacterium. RNAcentral describes it as "partial 16S ribosomal RNA". It matches the Rfam family "Bacterial small subunit ribosomal RNA", at positions 28 to 507 of the family's 1533-position model. The record is from RNAcentral.
GAUGAACGCUGGCGGCGUGCCUAAUACAUGCAAGUCGAGCGAACAGAUGAGGAGCUUGCUCCUCUGACGUUAGCGGCGGACGGGUGAGUAACACGUGGAUAACCUACCUAUAAGACUGGGAUAACUUCGGGAAACCGGAGCUAAUACCGGAUAAUAUAUUGAACCGCAUGGUUCAAUAGUGAAAGACGGUUUUGCUGUCACUUAUAGAUGGAUCCGCGCCGCAUUAGCUAGUUGGUAAGGUAACGGCUUACCAAGGCAACGAUGCGUAGCUGACCUGAGAGGGUGAUCGGCCACACUGGAACUGAGACACGGUCCAGACUCCUACGGGAGGCAGCAGUAGGGAAUCUUCCGCAAUGGGCGAAAGCUUGACGGAGCAACGCCGCGUGAGUGAUGAAGGUCUUCGGAUCGUAAAACUCUGUUAUUAGGGAAGAACAAAUGUGUAAGUAACUAUGCACGUCUUGACGGUACCUAAUCAGAAAGCCACGGCUAACUACGUG